GACGUAGGGCGCGAGCGUUGUCCGGAUUUAUUGGGCGUAAAGAGCUCGUAGGCGGCUUGUCGCGUCGUCCGUGAAAACCCACAGCUCAACUGUGGGCUUGCGGUCGAUACGGGCAGGCUAGAGUUCGGUAGGGGAGACUGGAAUUCCUGGUGUAGCGGUGAAAUGCGCAGAUAUCAGGAGGAACACCGGUGGCGAAGGCGGGUCUCUGGGCCGAUACUGACGCUGAGGAGCGAAAGCAUGGGUAGCGAACAGG
This 253-nucleotide ribosomal RNA is filed under the name uncultured bacterium. RNAcentral's name for it is "partial 16S ribosomal RNA". It matches the Rfam family "Bacterial small subunit ribosomal RNA", at positions 524 to 776 of the family's 1533-position model. The record is from RNAcentral.